RNAcentral lists this ribosomal RNA (487 nucleotides) under uncultured bacterium. Its description in RNAcentral is "bacterial SSU rRNA". It matches the Rfam family "Bacterial small subunit ribosomal RNA", at positions 28 to 526 of the family's 1533-position model. The record is from RNAcentral.
GACGAACGCUGGCGGCGUGCUUAACACAUGCAAGUGGAGCGACGAACCAGGGCUUGCCCUGGGGCAAAGCCGCGAACGGGUGAGUAACACGUGGGUAACCUGCCCUGAUGAUUGGGACAACCCGAGGAAACUCGGGCUAAUACCAAAUGUGUUCCCCGGCCAUAAGGCCGGUGAGGAAAGGUAGCUUCGGCUUCCGCAUCAGGAUGGGCCCGCGGCCCAUUAGCUUGUUGGUGGGGUAACGGCCUACCAAGGCUUCGAUGGGUAGCUGGUCUGAGAGGACGAUCAGCCACACUGGGACUGAGACACGGCCCAGACUCCUACGGGAGGCAGCAGUGGGGAAUCUUGCACAAUGCGCGAAAGCGUGAUGCAGCAACGCCGCGUGGGGGAAGAAGGCCUUAGGGUUGUAAAGCUCUUUCAGCUGGGAAGAUAAUGACGGUACCAGCAGAAGAAGCCCCGGCUAACUCCGUGCCAGCCGCCGCAGUAACAC